GGUUAAGCGACUAAGCGUACACGGUGGAUGCCCUGGCAGUCAGAGGCGAUGAAGGACGUGCUAAUCUGCGAUAAGCGUCGGUAAGGUGAUAUGAACCGUUAUAACCGGCGAUUUCCGAAUGGGGAAACCCAGUGUGUUUCGACACACUAUCAUUAACUGAAUCCAUAGGUUAAUGAGGCGAACCGGGGGAACUGAAACAUCUAAGUACCCCGAGGAAAAGAAAUCAACCGAGAUUCCCCCAGUAGCGGCGAGCGAACGGGGAGCAGCCCAGAGCCUGAAUCAGUGUGUGUGUUAGUGGAAGCGUCUGGAAAGGCGCGCGAUACAGGGUGACAGCCCCGUACACAAAAAUGCACAUGCUGUGAGCUCGAUGAGUAGGGCGGGACACGUGGUAUCCUGUCUGAAUAUGGGGGGACCAUCCUCCAAGGCUAAAUACUCCUGACUGACCGAUAGUGAACCAGUACCGUGAGGGAAAGGCGAAAAGAACCCCGGCGAGGGGAGUGAAAAAGAACCUGAAACCGUGUACGUACAAGCAGUGGGAGCCUCUUUUAUGGGGUGACUGCGUACCUUUUGUAUAAUGGGUCAGCGACUUAUAUUCUGUAGCAAGGUUAACCGAAUAGGGGAGCCGAAGGGAAACCGAGUCUUAACUGGGCGUUAAGUUGCAGGGUAUAGACCCGAAACCCGGUGAUCUAGCCAUGGGCAGGUUGAAGGUUGGGUAACACUAACUGGAGGACCGAACCGACUAAUGUUGAAAAAUUAGCGGAUGACUUGUGGCUGGGGGUGAAAGGCCAAUCAAACCGGGAGAUAGCUGGUUCUCCCCGAAAGCUAUUUAGGUAGCGCCUCGUGAAUUCAUCUCCGGGGGUAGAGCACUGUUUCGGCAAGGGGGUCAUCCCGACUUACCAACCCGAUGCAAACUGCGAAUACCGGAGAAUGUUAUCACGGGAGACACACGGCGGGUGCUAACGUCCGUCGUGAAGAGGGAAACAACCCAGACCGCCAGCUAAGGUCCCAAAGUCAUGGUUAAGUGGGAAACGAUGUGGGAAGGCCCAGACAGCCAGGAUGUUGGCUUAGAAGCAGCCAUCAUUUAAAGAAAGCGUAAUAGCUCACUGGUCGAGUCGGCCUGCGCGGAAGAUGUAACGGGGCUAAACCAUGCACCGAAGCUGCGGCAGCGACGCUUAUGCGUUGUUGGGUAGGGGAGCGUUCUGUAAGCCUGUGAAGGUGUGCUGUGAGGCAUGCUGGAGGUAUCAGAAGUGCGAAUGCUGACAUAAGUAACGAUAAAGCGGGUGAAAAGCCCGCUCGCCGGAAGACCAAGGGUUCCUGUCCAACGUUAAUCGGGGCAGGGUGAGUCGACCCCUAAGGCGAGGCCGAAAGGCGUAGUCGAUGGGAAACAGGUUAAUAUUCCUGUACUUGGUGUUACUGCGAAGGGGGGACGGAGAAGGCUAUGUUGGCCGGGCGACGGUUGUCCCGGUUUAAGCGUGUAGGCUGGUUUUCCAGGCAAAUCCGGAAAAUCAAGGCUGAGGCGUGAUGACGAGGCACUACGGUGCUGAAGCAACAAAUGCCCUGCUUCCAGGAAAAGCCUCUAAGCAUCAGGUAACAUCAAAUCGUACCCCAAACCGACACAGGUGGUCAGGUAGAGAAUACCAAGGCGCUUGAGAGAACUCGGGUGAAGGAACUAGGCAAAAUGGUGCCGUAACUUCGGGAGAAGGCACGCUGAUAUGUAGGUGAAGCGACUUGCUCGUGGAGCUGAAAUCAGUCGAAGAUACCAGCUGGCUGCAACUGUUUAUUAAAAACACAGCACUGUGCAAACACGAAAGUGGACGUAUACGGUGUGACGCCUGCCCGGUGCCGGAAGGUUAAUUGAUGGGGUCAGCGCAAGCGAAGCUCUUGAUCGAAGCCCCGGUAAACGGCGGCCGUAACUAUAACGGUCCUAAGGUAGCGAAAUUCCUUGUCGGGUAAGUUCCGACCUGCACGAAUGGCGUAAUGAUGGCCAGGCUGUCUCCACCCGAGACUCAGUGAAAUUGAACUCGCUGUGAAGAUGCAGUGUACCCGCGGCAAGACGGAAAGACCCCGUGAACCUUUACUAUAGCUUGACACUGAACAUUGAGCCUUGAUGUGUAGGAUAGGUGGGAGGCUUAGAAGUGUGGACGCCAGUCUGCAUGGAGCCGACCUUGAAAUACCACCCUUUAAUGUUUGAUGUUCUAACGUUGACCCGUAAUCCGGGUUGCGGACAGUGUCUGGUGGGUAGUUUGACUGGGGCGGUCUCCUCCUAAAGAGUAACGGAGGAGCACGAAGGUUGGCUAAUCCUGGUCGGACAUCAGGAGGUUAGUGCAAUGGCAUAAGCCAGCUUGACUGCGAGCGUGACGGCGCGAGCAGGUGCGAAAGCAGGUCAUAGUGAUCCGGUGGUUCUGAAUGGAAGGGCCAUCGCUCAACGGAUAAAAGGUACUCCGGGGAUAACAGGCUGAUACCGCCCAAGAGUUCAUAUCGACGGCGGUGUUUGGCACCUCGAUGUCGGCUCAUCACAUCCUGGGGCUGAAGUAGGUCCCAAGGGUAUGGCUGUUCGCCAUUUAAAGUGGUACGCGAGCUGGGUUUAGAACGUCGUGAGACAGUUCGGUCCCUAUCUGCCGUGGGCGCUGGAGAACUGAGGGGGGCUGCUCCUAGUACGAGAGGACCGGAGUGGACGCAUCACUGGUGUUCGGGUUGUCAUGCCAAUGGCACUGCCCGGUAGCUAAAUGCGGAAGAGAUAAGUGCUGAAAGCAUCUAAGCACGAAACUUGCCCCGAGAUGAGUUCUCCCUGACCCUUUAAGGGUCCUGAAGGAACGUUGAAGACGACGACGUUGAUAGGCCGGGUGUGUAAGCGCAGCGAUGCGUUGAGCUAACCGGUACUAAUGAACCGUGAGGCUUAACCUU
RNAcentral lists this ribosomal RNA (2904 nucleotides) under Escherichia coli. RNAcentral describes it as "23S ribosomal RNA". It matches the Rfam family "Bacterial large subunit ribosomal RNA". Lineage: Bacteria; Pseudomonadati; Pseudomonadota; Gammaproteobacteria; Enterobacterales; Enterobacteriaceae. The record is from RNAcentral.